Molecule: ribosomal RNA, 298 nt
Filed under: uncultured fungus
Lineage: Eukaryota; Fungi
Description: partial 18S ribosomal RNA
Rfam family: Eukaryotic small subunit ribosomal RNA
Source: RNAcentral
UAGCAUUAUACCGUGAAACUGCGAAUGGCUCAUUAAAUCAGUUAUCGUUUAUUUGAUAGUACCUUACUACUUGGAUAACCGUGGUAAUUCUAGAGCUAAUACAUGCUGAAAACCCCAACUUCGGAAGGGGUGUAUUUAUUAGAUAAAAAACCAACGCCCUUCGGGGCUUCUUGGUGAUUCAUGAUAACUUUACGGAUCGCAUGGCCUUGCGCCGGCGACGGUUCAUUCAAAUUUCUGCCCUAUCAACUUUCGAUGGUAAGGUAUUGGCUUACCAUGGUUUCAACGGGUAACGGGGAAU